This 564-nucleotide long non-coding RNA is filed under the name Actinidia chinensis (golden kiwifruit). RNAcentral describes it as "long non-coding RNA (ACHI_LNC002904)". The record is from RNAcentral. Lineage: Eukaryota; Viridiplantae; Streptophyta; Magnoliopsida; Ericales; Actinidiaceae.
CACAUUCGAUUGAGGAUUCAUCGCCUUAGAGAUCCUGAAGAAUCACCCAAAGACGUUGAAAUUCAGGUGCCUAAUUCUUCUUUUUAAGACUUUUUUGUGAUUUUUGAAUCUUUAAUUUUCUUCCAGUUAUCAGUUUGGUUCCAGGAAAAUUAAUGGAAAAGGAAAGGGAAACUGAAUUUAGCAGAGGAAGAAUCUCUCUACCUCUCCCUCUCUCUCUUCACCGCUCUCACUCUUUGCAAAGGCAACGACCAUAAUUGAUUGAGGACUCAUCACCUUCUAGGCGAGUCUCAAAAGUUGGUCAUCCAUCCUGAAGAAUCACCCAAAGACAUUGAAAUUCAGGUGCCCUAAUUCUCCUUUGGAAGAUUUUUUAUGAUUGGUUGAAUCUUUAAUUUUCUUCCAGUCAAGUCUCUGUUUGGUUCCCAGGAAAAUUAUAGAUUGAGAUCUCAUCGCCUUCGAGGCGAGUCUCAAAAGUUGCUGGUCCGUCUGAAGAAUCGGCUUCGGAUCCUCUGUCCGGCUGUUCUGUCAUCUCUCUGUAGCAAUGUGCAUUGACUGCCAUGUGUCCAU